UUGCUGUGAUGUUUUAAAAUCAACACAUUAUUCUUACUGUAAAGUGAAGAAACAUUAAAAAAAAUCACUGAGCAAA
This is a small nucleolar RNA of Astyanax mexicanus (Mexican tetra), 76 nucleotides long. RefSeq annotates it as small nucleolar RNA SNORD63. The transcript has a single exon. The record is from RefSeq and is a predicted model, not a curated record. NCBI's taxonomy places the organism in Eukaryota, Metazoa, Chordata, Actinopteri, Characiformes, Acestrorhamphidae.